RNAcentral lists this long non-coding RNA (219 nucleotides) under Elaeis guineensis (African oil palm). Its description in RNAcentral is "long non-coding RNA (EGUI_LNC038076)". The record is from RNAcentral. Lineage: Eukaryota; Viridiplantae; Streptophyta; Magnoliopsida; Arecales; Arecaceae.
GACUCUUCUCUUCAUGCCACCACUUUUCUCUAUGCACAAAGUAUUUUUUAUGAAAUUUUUUUAUGCCAUUUUGAUGCUGGUCACCCUAUCUCUGAGUUCUUAAGAUCAGGAUAAAAUUUGAUUCAAAAUUUAAUUCAAAUUUGAUUUGAAUUGAUGAUAAGGAUCAACCAAUGUUUGAACUAGAACCAACCUACCUAAUUCUUAUCCUUAUAUUCCACG